ACGGGUGCGUAACGCGUAUGCAAUCUGCCUUUCACAGAGGGAUAGCCCAGAGAAAUUUGGAUUAAUACCUCAUAGUAUUAUAGAGCGGCAUCACUUUAUAAUUAAAGUCACAACGGUGAAAGAUGAGCAUGCGUCCCAUUAGCUAGUUGGUAAGGUAACGGCUUACCAAGGCCACGAUGGGUAGGGGUCCUGAGAGGGAGAUCCCCCACACUGGUACUGAGACACGGACCAGACUCCUACGGGAGGCAGCAGUGAGGAAUAUUGGUCAAUGGACGCAAGUCUGAACCAGCCAUGCCGCGUGCAGGAUGACGGUCCUAUGGAUUGUAAACUGCUUUUGUACGAGAAGAAACACUCCUAUGUAUAGGAGCUUGACGGUAUCGUAAGAAUAAGGAUCGGCUAACUCCGUGCCAGCAGCCGCGGUAAUACGGAGGAUCCAAGCGUUAUCCGGAAUCAUUGGGUUUAAAGGGUCCGUAGGCGGUUUAGUAAGUCAGUGGUGAAAGCCCAUCGCUCAACGGUGGAACGGCCAUUGAUACUGCUGAACUUGAAUUACUGGGAAGUAACUAGAAUAUGUAGUGUAGCGGUGAAAUGC
RNAcentral lists this ribosomal RNA (589 nucleotides) under Flavobacterium sp. StRD336. RNAcentral describes it as "bacterial SSU rRNA". It matches the Rfam family "Bacterial small subunit ribosomal RNA", at positions 102 to 689 of the family's 1533-position model. The record is from RNAcentral. RNAcentral also lists the same sequence under 12 other names. Lineage: Bacteria; Pseudomonadati; Bacteroidota; Flavobacteriia; Flavobacteriales; Flavobacteriaceae.